UCUGAUACCAUGUCAAAUAACCACUUAAUCCCAAAAGCUUAAGCUGUUGGGUAAGGGCCACUUUAAUGAUUUUAUAUUAUAUUCUAACACAUAUAUCUGACAUACUUGUUUGAUGACAACCGCUAAACACAAAGAGUUUAAAAAAGUUCAGCGGAGACCUCCGCAAAAUAUAUACGUCAAUUUUGUGAUUGUUUAUGUAGUGUUCUCAAAUCACAAAUUUUAUUUUUCUUAUUUUUAAAUACAUUGCAAAUUGUGGUGGUUACAAAUUUGUCACAAUCAACGUAUGUCGGUCUGUGGUCUAGUCAUCCUGAAUGUCUACUAAACAUUACCGAGUGAAUUUUUUUAUCAACAAAGCUAACACCGGUCACCAAUUAGUGGAUGAUUCAAGUAAUUCAUGUUUAAUUCCCUUUGAAUAAAAUCGCAGCUGUAAGUGAAAAAUGUCUGUAGUCAAACAAAAAACAGCUAACAUCAGGAGGUGGCUUUCAGCAGUUGAGCUUUGGUAAGCGGAGUCGACCCCGUGAAUGUGAAGGCAUGGCAUGAUUUGGUCCAAAGUCUAACAAACAUUAAACAAUGUCUACUUUCCUAAAACUCUUGAAUUUAAUGGAAGUCCUUGGUGAAUAAGGUUUUGUUUCCCACUGGCAUUUUGUCUUGUGCUUUGUCUAAUUCUUCAUACAGAUUUGAACAACUAGAUUCACACAUGGACCCAUAAUCUUAGUUGAGAAUAUGUGCAUAUUUUACUAAAGAUUAUGUUUAGAUUAAAUAUACAAGUCAUUAGAUUAUGAAAGGAAGACACUAAUUCCAAAUCAUGAUAAGAUGUAAAGUGCUUUUGUAGUGUGACUAACUAUGAGCAAUAUUAAAGAUUAGUAGUGCCAGUGGUCUACUAAUUAAUUAAUAAUGAUUAAUUAUAACUCCCAGAAUUCCGACACAAAUGCUUACACAUGAAGCCCGAGCACAUGGCGGAGCAUCGGAGUAAUGUUAACGACAUCUUCACUUCAUUCACUAACCACCACCGUGACAUUCAUCAAUUUUAAGAUUGAAGAAUCAUAUUAUUCAUAUACAAUCGAGAAAGGAAUAGUACUCAAAAUAGUAAUGGUGUGCUGGUCAAUAAUGAAUACUUAAGAGUUUUAAGAAAUAGAAAAGAGAGAACAACAUAAUGAUUAUUAGUUUAAGGAAAAGAAUACAUUUUGAAUGGAAUUCAGAAUAAUUAUAAGGGGAUUGUUAUUCAGACUCCCCCCUAUUCAGACCCCUCAAAAUUGGCGAAUUGUCCAAAAUGCCCCUGUUUAAAAAAAAAACUUUCCAC
Molecule: long non-coding RNA, 1300 nt
Filed under: Lotus japonicus
Lineage: Eukaryota; Viridiplantae; Streptophyta; Magnoliopsida; Fabales; Fabaceae
Description: long non-coding RNA (LJAP_LNC000667)
Source: RNAcentral